Molecule: ribosomal RNA, 460 nt
Filed under: uncultured bacterium
Lineage: Bacteria
Description: partial 16S ribosomal RNA
Rfam family: Bacterial small subunit ribosomal RNA
Source: RNAcentral
CCUACGGGUGACAGCAGUGAGGAAUAUUGGUCAAUGGACGAGAGUCUGAACCAGCCAAGUAGCGUGAAGGAUGACUGCCCUAGGGGUUGUAAACUUCUUUUAUAUGGCAAUAAAAUGUUCCACGUGUGGGAUUUUGUAUGUACCAUAUGAAUAAGGAUCGGCUAACUCCGUGCCAGCAGCCGCGGUAAUACGGAGGGUCCGAGCGUUAUCCGGAUUUAUUGGGUGUAAAGGGAGCGUAGGUGGCUUGUUAAGUCAGUUGUGAAAGUUUGCGGCUCAACCGUAAAAUUGCAGUUGAAACUGGCAGUCUUGAGUACAGUAGAGGUGGGCGGAAUUCGUGGUGUAGCGGUGAAAUGCUUAGAUAUCACGAAGAACUCCGAUUGCGAAGGCAGUUCACUGGACUGCAACUGACACUGAGGCUCGAAAGUGUGGGUAUCAAACAGGAUUAGAUACCCUAGUAGUC